This 226-nucleotide long non-coding RNA is filed under the name Mytilus galloprovincialis (Mediterranean mussel). The record is from RNAcentral. Lineage: Eukaryota; Metazoa; Mollusca; Bivalvia; Mytilida; Mytilidae.
CAAUACUCUAAAGAAAGACAAGCUCAUUAUUACAAUCAAGGAGCAAAGGAAUAAUCAUAUUUAAAAGAAGGAGAUGUUGUGAGAGUGAAACCGGCAAACAAAUACCAAAAGACUUGGGAGAAAGGAACAGUUAAUCAGAAAGUAAACGAAAGAUCAUAUGAAAUCAACAUUAAAGGAAAAACAUUCAGUAGAAAUAGGAGACAAUUGCUUAAAACGAGCGAAAACA